CUGAGGAUUGAACCCAGUGCCUCACGCAUGCAAAACAAGUGCUCAACCACUGAACUACAACCCCAGCCCUGGUUUUAAUUAACAUGCAGUAUCAGAUUGUCAACCUAUAACCCUUGAAAGUAUCCCACAAAUACAUUUUAAAAACAUUAUUUUGAUAAUAUAUGCACAGAACUACACCAAGGAAAUUGUGCCUUUACUAGGAGGACCGGACACAAUCCUCCUACCUUAUUUCUUUUAGUGGAACUUUAUGGUAACAGCAGCAGAAUGGGCUCUUAAGCAGAUUUUUAUCCAAAUGGUCACUAGCAGAAUUCCAUGUAUAUAAGCUAAAUAUGAGCAUGCUCCUUUUAAGAAAGCAUGGUUUAAAUGUGUACAGAAACAUUCUUGCCUUGUGGAAAUAUCAAUAUUAAGAGCAGAAGGGAGCUGGGGUUAUGGCUCAGCGGUAGAGCACUUGUCUAGCUCUUACAAGGCCCUGGGUUCGAUCCUUAGCACCACAUAAAAAUAAAUAAAAUAAAAGUAUAACAACAAAAAAAGAGCUGAAGGACUGGAGUUGUAGCUCAGUGGUAGAGUGAUCACCUCAAAUGUGGAAGGCACUGGGUUUGAUCCUCAACACCACAUAAGGUAUUUUAUCCAUCUACAGCUAAAGAAAUAUUUUUUAAAAAAGAGUAGAAAUGUUGUUUUACAAUAUUUUCAUUCCCUUCCCCUGUUCUACGUUAUAAUACUAAGGUUCUCAUCCUUGGCUUUAAAGUUUUCACAGACUUUCCCAGGGCUCAAAUACACUAAGUUUAAACAAUUAUACCCUGAAUUAUCUGGUGACCUGACCCAAUUACUGAAAUAAAGUAAAUCUGUUAUACAGUCACAUUACAUAUAAACUGUUGCUAAUUUGUGUUAUCACCACACAAACAGAAUCUCUGCACAGACAAGUGUGGUGAUUUAUUCUAACCAUGCAAUCAAUUAAAAAUAUGUUGUUAGUUGUGUGCUCCUCUUAAGAAACCACAGUGCAAAUGUGCUUACAAGUUUGGGAAAAUAAGUGUCAUGAGUUUCUUGUUCAGAGUGGGAUGACAAAAACAGAAUAAUAAUAAAGCUGAGGAUUUUAUUACUCAAGAAAUCAAUUUUGGGGUUGGGGCUGUGGCUCAGUGGCAGAGCGCUUGCCUCGAAUGUGUGAGGCACUGGGUUCGAUCCUCAGCACCACAUAAAAAUAAAUGAAGAUAUUGUGUCCAUUUAUUUUUUUAAAAAUCAAUUUUCUAACUAAAAGCUUUACAACAGUAAAAAAGGUUAGACAUCAUAGGAAUUUCCAUAAAAUUACUAACUAAAACACUGAACUAUUAAACACAUCAAUGGUAACUGAAAAUCUUCAUAGGAAAUCCUUGAAUGCACCACAUACUGAUUUUUUUUGACACAUUUUAGUAAAAAUACCAUACCAAUAUUGACACAUUUUAAAAAUAACCACAGAAUAUUGCCAUAUUGAGGCAGUUCUAUUGUUGCUCAAUACCCAAAAUGAAAAGCAGCAGAGAGAAUGCAGCCAAGGGCAUUUUUGCUUUCUCUUACAAAACAUUCAAAUGCAUUUUUCUUACUUAGCUCCAAAAAGGCAAAAAGGAAAGAAUGGAGGCUGCCAAAAAGUUUUCAGAGCAGCCACUGAAGGCAACUUGACCCUCAAGGAGUCAAACAGCAUGGCCCGAGUGAGAACUUCCAAGAACAGAUGGUGUGCUACCAAGCUAAACUUUCCAUAGAUACUCAUUUUUAAAAUGAGACAAAAGUUAGCCUAAUGCAACCUAUAUCUUGAAAUAAACCUAAAACAUUUCUUUUUUAAUGAGUUAGACAAUGGGCCACAUCCCCACAUUACAAAAUGGUAUAAUUUGCUCCUCUUGUAGUUAGAGCUUGGUAGAAGACCAUCUCAUAUCAUCUCAUAUUAUCCCGGUGUUUCUAAUUCCCAGAUGACUUAACACCAUCUCAUAUCAUCCCAGUGUUUCUAAUUCCCAGAUGACUAAGAUAUCCUUUCUAUUCCUACUAUGUUUUGCCCCCAAGAUUUACUGCUUUGUUUAAAAAGUAGUUCAGAAUUUAUAAAAUUUAGAAUCCAAAUAAAAUCAAAUUAUGUUCUAAUAAAGAAAUGCACAUAUUUUGUACUUAGUAGUUUAUUGUUGGUGAUGAGAUAAUUUUGAAAUUUACAUCUUACAGGAUCAAGCAAGUAAGUAUUGGUGUUGUUUGGAAGCAAGUUCUCAUCAAGGGAAAAUAAGAUCAUAAAUGUAGAAUAGGGAAAGAAGAGGAAGAUCAGUGUUUUCAUUUUGAUACUUAAGAAGCAUCAAAAUGAAUUUGACUUUUUAAAAAUGUAUGUGUUCCUAAAAGGGCCUAGACACAAUGAGAUCCCAGUAAAACACAAAUCCUGAUUCCCAAACACCAUUCCCUGUGAAAAGAAACCAGGGGUCUUGAAGAAAGCCAAUUCUUAGUCUGUGUCAGGAAAAAAUACAUAGUAAGCCUAUAAUAUCUUGCUAUGGUACAAAGCAAAAACACACUCAGACUGAUGGUUCAAAAUGACCCACUGGUCAAAUCUGGGACAAUUAUAGUAAUUAAACAGAAUUUUCAAAAUGCUGCGAUUCCACAAUAAUACUCAAAAAGGGGAGGGGAGACAGGGACUAGAGGGAGGAAAGUGUUUCUUUGUAGAAUGUUAGUUAAUAAAUGUAGAUGGGAUGCCAGCCUUAGAAAAUGCCAACUUGCAGUCAUGACUAUAAUAAAAUAUUGGAUUCAGGUGAAAACUGUCAGUGAAAGCUAAAACCACCAAGUGAAGAGGAUAUGCAGUAUUUUCCAAAUCUUUCUCCCAAGAAUAAAAAAGAAUAUACUUUUACAAUUUAAAAAAGCCUGACAGACUACCCAACUAUCAACUUUAAAAAAAUCCAAUGAAAACCUUGAAGACAGACUGACAAAUCAAACUAAGAUGGCAAACAAAUUGCUAAACCUCCUCUUGCCUAUUAAUUUAUACACGUGGGUGGCAAGUAGUAUAAAUGUUGCUGAAGGGGUUCUAAUUCCAACAACCUAUUUUAUCAGCAUAAGCCACAAAAAAGAAGAUAAAGAGCAAACACGUUUCCCUUUUAAAUUAUAACUUCAAGAGAGUUGAAGACUGGCAAGAAACAAGGAUUACCCUAAAAGUUAACCUAAAACAAGUAAAUAAAUUGAUUUAUAA
RNAcentral lists this long non-coding RNA (3172 nucleotides) under Marmota monax (woodchuck). The stretch from base 544 to 612 matches the Rfam family "tRNA". Lineage: Eukaryota; Metazoa; Chordata; Mammalia; Rodentia; Sciuridae. The record is from RNAcentral.